RNAcentral lists this ribosomal RNA (253 nucleotides) under uncultured bacterium. Its description in RNAcentral is "partial 16S ribosomal RNA". It matches the Rfam family "Bacterial small subunit ribosomal RNA", at positions 524 to 776 of the family's 1533-position model. The record is from RNAcentral.
UACGUAGGUGGCAAGCGUUGUCCGGAUUUACUGGGCAUAAAGAGCGCGCAGGCGGUCGUUCAAGUCGCGUGUGAAAGCCCCCGGCUCAACUGGGGAGGGUCACGCGAUACUGAUCGACUCGAAGGCAGGAGAGGGAAGUGGAAUUCCCGGUGUAGUGGUGAAAUGCGUAGAUAUCGGGAGGAACACCAGUGGCGAAGGCGACUUCCUGGCCUGUUCUUGACGCUGAGGCGCGAAAGCGUGGGGAGCAAACGGG